This 424-nucleotide ribosomal RNA is filed under the name uncultured bacterium. Its description in RNAcentral is "partial 16S ribosomal RNA". It matches the Rfam family "Bacterial small subunit ribosomal RNA", at positions 360 to 776 of the family's 1533-position model. The record is from RNAcentral.
AAUCUUGGACAAUGGGGGAAACCCUGAUCCAGCCAUCCCGCGUGUGCGAUGAAGGCCUUCGGGUUGUAAAGCACUUUUGUCAGGGAAGAAACGUCUCGGGCCAUUACUCUUAUCUAAUGCCAGUACCUGCAGAAUAAUCACCGGCCAAUCACCUGCCAGUAGCCGCGGUAAUACGUAGGGUGCAAGCGUUAAUCGGAAUUACUGGGCGUAAAGCGUGCGCAGGCGGUUCGGAAAGAAAGGUGUGAAAUCCCAGGGCUUAACCUUGGAACUGCACUUUUAACUACCGGGCUAGAGUACGUCAGAGGGGGGUAGAAUUCCACGUGUAGCAGUGAAAUGCGUAGAGAUGUGGAGGAAUACCGAUGGCGAAGGCAGCCCCCUGGGAUGAUACUGACGCUCAUGCACGAAAGCGUGGGGAGCAAACAGG